Molecule: small RNA, 123 nt
Filed under: Arabidopsis thaliana (thale cress)
Lineage: Eukaryota; Viridiplantae; Streptophyta; Magnoliopsida; Brassicales; Brassicaceae
Description: ATSL100030
Source: RNAcentral
AUUAAUUUGUAUAUACAUCAAACUAACAAAAAUACACAGAUUUUCCAAAUAUCUCUAUAUUAUUCCGCAAUUCGAAACAAAUCUAACAUUCGAUUUACUAUGCAAAAUACAAAUAAAAUAUAA